CAUUUCCUAAUAAUCUUCUCAACUAUUUUACUUUCAGUAUCCUUUUUAUUUUAACUUUCAGCUUUCCUUGCUGCUUCAAUCAUCUCCAGUAAUAUUUAAGAUCUCUGAUAGCUAAUGGUAAAUCUGAGAACAUUUUCUGGAUUUGAGCCAAUCAUAAUAUCUUUAAAUAAUAUUUAUAUAUUGCAAGCUUGCCAGCUACUUGCCAGGGCAUAACAAAAGAUAAAUAUACACUCCUCUACUACCACCACUAAAAGAAGCCAAGUCAUCUGACUGCUAGUGACCUAAUUUUUGCAUAGCUGUUUGUAAUUCUCAUCAUCAUGUUAUGGCGAUAUAAUUUAUUAAUCCUUCUGGCAUUUUUCUCCUUGACAGCUUCUCAGUUGCUGUUACAUUCUACUUGGAUGGCUGUAAAAUGGAAUAAUGUUCACCCUGCUGUGAGCCCAGAUAUGUGAGACUUUCGGCUGUAAAUAAAUAAGAUGUUAUUAAUUUGUUGACAACAUUCUCUCCUUACUGGUUUUUAACAGAUCAGUAAACACCUAAACAGGUAAAAAUGUAAUAUAGUCAAUUUCCAUUUGAGAAACUGUAGAUAAGUAAACAAUUUGGAUUGCUGGAAAAAUUGAGAUUAUUCUUUGAAUUUCAUUUGAGUAAUUAGUGCUUUUAUAUAAUUGAAUUUGCAAAAGGAUAAUAUAUUACAAAUCUGUGAUGAUUUAAAGAUUUAAAUUGUGGAACAUUUGCGUAUCUAUCUCUUAAGAUGAAUUUGAACUAAAGGUAUAAAUGUUACAAGUUCGUGUGUAUUCAUUUAAAUACAUCUUCAUAAAAGCAUACUUUUCAACAUGAAUUCUUAAGUAUUCUCUUUAUUUUAAUAUUUGUUUUGGAACCUUAGUAAU
RNAcentral lists this long non-coding RNA (884 nucleotides) under Callithrix jacchus (white-tufted-ear marmoset). RNAcentral describes it as "lncRNA (ENSCJAG00000083727.1)". The record is from RNAcentral. Lineage: Eukaryota; Metazoa; Chordata; Mammalia; Primates; Cebidae.